GUGUUAGUGGUAUCUAGGUAGUGAUGGGCGAACAUAGCCUUGUGAAGCUUUUGAAGCUUCUUCCUGAUUGUAUCGCAAAAUGAUCCGAAGCAUCAAAGCAUCGAAACAACACAGUGACAUCUGGUGGUCAGCAGAAAUGACAGCGGCUAUGAAUUCGACACACCCGAACGAAGCUUACAACAUGAACAUGAGGGACA
Long non-coding RNA from Alosa sapidissima (American shad), 197 nucleotides. RefSeq lists it as uncharacterized. The transcript is spliced from 3 exons. Lineage: Eukaryota; Metazoa; Chordata; Actinopteri; Clupeiformes; Clupeidae. The record is from RefSeq and is a predicted model, not a curated record.